RNAcentral lists this ribosomal RNA (439 nucleotides) under Salmonella enterica. RNAcentral describes it as "partial 23S ribosomal RNA". It matches the Rfam family "Bacterial large subunit ribosomal RNA", at positions 161 to 625 of the family's 2925-position model. RNAcentral also lists the same sequence under 2 other names. The record is from RNAcentral. Lineage: Bacteria; Pseudomonadati; Pseudomonadota; Gammaproteobacteria; Enterobacterales; Enterobacteriaceae.
AAUCCAUAGGUUAAUGAGGCGAACCGGGGGAACUGAAACAUCUAAGUACCCCGAGGAAAAGAAAUCAACCGAGAUUCCCCCAGUAGCGGCGAGCGAACGGGGAGGAGCCCAGAGCCUGAAUCAGCAUGUGUGUUAGUGGAAGCGUCUGGAAAGGCGCGCGAUACAGGGUGAGAGCCCCGUACACAAAAGCGCACGUGCUGUGAGCUCGAUGAGUAGGGCGGGACACGUGGUAUCCUGUCUGAAUAUGGGGGGACCAUCCUCCAAGGCUAAAUACUCCUGACUGACCGAUAGUGAACCAGUACCGUGAGGGAAAGGCGAAAAGAACCCCGGCGAGGGGAGUGAAACAGAACCUGAAACCGUGUACGUACAAGCAGUGGGAGCCCCACCACUAAGCCAGUGGUGAACUCCACAUACGCAUCCUUUGCUGAGGAUACGGUUA